AUUGCUUCCUGGCCUUUUGGCUAAGAUCAAGUGUAGUAUCUGUUCUUAUCUGUUUAAAAAUAUAGUUAACUUAAAAGUUAUAUUUAUCUUGUUCCCAAACCCAG
Myotis davidii is the source of this 104-nucleotide non-coding RNA. NCBI's taxonomy places the organism in Eukaryota, Metazoa, Chordata, Mammalia, Chiroptera, Vespertilionidae. The record is from Rfam.